GAUGAAGAACGUAGCGAAAUGCGAUAAGUAGUGUGAAUUGCAGAAUUCAGUGAAUCAUCGAAUCUUUGAACGCACAUUGCGCCCCUUGGUAUCCCGAGGGGCAUGCCUGUUCGAGCGUCAUUUCACCACUCAAGCCUGGCUUGGUGUUGGGCGACGUCCCCUUUGGGGACGCGCCUUGAAACGCUCGGCGGCGUGGCACCGGCUUUAAGCGUAGCAGAAUCUUUCGCUUUGGAAGUCGGGGCCCCGUCUGCCGGAAGACCUAGUCGCAAGGUUGACCUCGGAUCAGGCAGGGAUACCCGCUGAACUUAAGCAUAUCAAUAAGCGGAGGA
RNAcentral lists this unclassified non-coding RNA (329 nucleotides) under soil metagenome. RNAcentral's name for it is "partial contains 5.8S ribosomal RNA, internal transcribed spacer 2, and large subunit ribosomal RNA". The stretch from base 1 to 120 matches the Rfam family "5.8S ribosomal RNA", at positions 35 to 154 of the family's 154-position model. The record is from RNAcentral.